UUAAGCGACUAAGCGUACACGGUGGAUGCCCUGGCAGUCAGAGGCGAUGAAGGACGUGCUAAUCUGCGAUAAGCGUCGGUAAGGUGAUAUGAACCGUUAUAACCGGCGAUUUCCGAAUGGGGAAACCCAGUGUGAUUCGUCACACUAUCAUUAACUGAAUCCAUAGGUUAAUGAGGCGAACCGGGGGAACUGAAACAUCUAAGUACCCCGAGGAAAAGAAAUCAACCGAGAUUCCCCCAGUAGCGGCGAGCGAACGGGGAGGAGCCCAGAGCCUGAAUCAGUGUGUGUGUUAGUGGAAGCGUCUGGAAAGGCGCGCGAUACAGGGUGACAGCCCCGUACACAAAAAUGCACAUACUGUGAGCUCGAUGAGUAGGGCGGGACACGUGGUAUCCUGUCUGAAUAUGGGGGGACCAUCCUCCAAGGCUAAAUACUCCUGACUGACCGAUAGUGAACCAGUACCGUGAGGGAAAGGCGAAAAGAACCCCGGCGAGGGGAGUGAAAAAGAACCUGAAACCGUGUACGUACAAGCAGUGGGAGCACCCUUUUGGGUGUGACUGCGUACCUUUUGUAUAAUGGGUCAGCGACUUAUAUUCUGUAGCAAGGUUAACCGAAUAGGGGAGCCGAAGGGAAACCGAGUCUUAACUGGGCGUUAAGUUGCAGGGUAUAGACCCGAAACCCGGUGAUCUAGCCAUGGGCAGGUUGAAGGUUGGGUAACACUAACUGGAGGACCGAACCGACUAAUGUUGAAAAAUUAGCGGAUGACUUGUGGCUGGGGGUGAAAGGCCAAUCAAACCGGGAGAUAGCUGGUUCUCCCCGAAAGCUAUUUAGGUAGCGCCUCGUGAAUUCAUCUCCGGGGGUAGAGCACUGUUUCGGCAAGGGGGUCAUCCCGACUUACCAACCCGAUGCAAACUGCGAAUACCGGAGAAUGUUAUCACGGGAGACACACGGCGGGUGCUAACGUCCGUCGUGAAGAGGGAAACAACCCAGACCGCCAGCUAAGGUCCCAAAGUCAUGGUUAAGUGGGAAACGAUGUGGGAAGGCCCAGACAGCCAGGAUGUUGGCUUAGAAGCAGCCAUCAUUUAAAGAAAGCGUAAUAGCUCACUGGUCGAGUCGGCCUGCGCGGAAGAUGUAACGGGGCUAAACCAUGCACCGAAGCUGCGGCAGCGACGCUUAUGCGUUGUUGGGUAGGGGAGCGUUCUGUAAGCCUGUGAAGGUGUGCUGUGAGGCAUGCUGGAGGUAUCAGAAGUGCGAAUGCUGACAUAAGUAACGAUAAAGCGGGUGAAAAGCCCGCUCGCCGGAAGACCAAGGGUUCCUGUCCAACGUUAAUCGGGGCAGGGUGAGUCGACCCCUAAGGCGAGGCCGAAAGGCGUAGUCGAUGGGAAACAGGUUAAUAUUCCUGUACUUGGUGUUACUGCGAAGGGGGGACGGAGAAGGCUAUGUUGGCCGGGCGACGGUUGUCCCGGUUUAAGCGUGUAGGCUGGUUUUCCAGGCAAAUCCGGAAAAUCAAGGCUGAGGCGUGAUGACGAGGCACUACGGUGCUGAAGCAACAAAUGCCCUGCUUCCAGGAAAAGCCUCUAAGCAUCAGGUAACAUCGAAUCGUACCCCAAACCGACACAGGUGGUCAGGUAGAGAAUACCAAGGCGCUUGAGAGAACUCGGGUGAAGGAACUAGGCAAAAUGGUGCCGUAACUUCGGGAGAAGGCACGCUGAUAUGUAGGUGAAGCGACUUGCUCGUGGAGCUGAAAUCAGUCGAAGAUACCAGCUGGCUGCAACUGUUUAUUAAAAACACAGCACUGUGCAAACACGAAAGUGGACGUAUACGGUGUGACGCCUGCCCGGUGCCGGAAGGUUAAUUGAUGGGGUUAGCGGUAACGCGAAGCUCUUGAUCGAAGCCCCGGUAAACGGCGGCCGUAACUAUAACGGUCCUAAGGUAGCGAAAUUCCUUGUCGGGUAAGUUCCGACCUGCACGAAUGGCGUAAUGAUGGCCAGGCUGUCUCCACCCGAGACUCAGUGAAAUUGAACUCGCUGUGAAGAUGCAGUGUACCCGCGGCAAGACGGAAAGACCCCGUGAACCUUUACUAUAGCUUGACACUGAACAUUGAGCCUUGAUGUGUAGGAUAGGUGGGAGGCUUUGAAGUGUGGACGCCAGUCUGCAUGGAGCCGACCUUGAAAUACCACCCUUUAAUGUUUGAUGUUCUAACGUUGGCCCGUAAUCCGGGUUGCGGACAGUGUCUGGUGGGUAGUUUGACUGGGGCGGUCUCCUCCUAAAGAGUAACGGAGGAGCACGAAGGUUGGCUAAUCCUGGUCGGACAUCAGGAGGUUAGUGCAAUGGCAUAAGCCAGCUUGACUGCGAGCGUGACGGCGCGAGCAGGUGCGAAAGCAGGUCAUAGUGAUCCGGUGGUUCUGAAUGGAAGGGCCAUCGCUCAACGGAUAAAAGGUACUCCGGGGAUAACAGGCUGAUACCGCCCAAGAGUUCAUAUCGACGGCGGUGUUUGGCACCUCGAUGUCGGCUCAUCACAUCCUGGGGCUGAAGUAGGUCCCAAGGGUAUGGCUGUUCGCCAUUUAAAGUGGUACGCGAGCUGGGUUUAGAACGUCGUGAGACAGUUCGGUCCCUAUCUGCCGUGGGCGCUGGAGAACUGAGGGGGGCUGCUCCUAGUACGAGAGGACCGGAGUGGACGCAUCACUGGUGUUCGGGUUGUCAUGCCAAUGGCACUGCCCGGUAGCUAAAUGCGGAAGAGAUAAGUGCUGAAAGCAUCUAAGCACGAAACUUGCCCCGAGAUGAGUUCUCCCUGACCCUUUAAGGGUCCUGAAGGAACGUUGAAGACGACGACGUUGAUAGGCCGGGUGUGUAAGCGCAGCGAUGCGUUGAGCUAACCGGUACUAAUGAACCGUGAGGCUUAACCUU
Molecule: ribosomal RNA, 2904 nt
Filed under: Escherichia coli
Lineage: Bacteria; Pseudomonadati; Pseudomonadota; Gammaproteobacteria; Enterobacterales; Enterobacteriaceae
Description: bacterial LSU rRNA
Rfam family: Bacterial large subunit ribosomal RNA
Source: RNAcentral